GGAUACUGGAGUGAUGGAGGUAGAUAUGUAUAGGGGGACAGGGAUACUGGAGUGAUGGAGGUAGAUAUGUAUAGGAGACAGGGAUACUGGAGUGAUGGAGGUAGAUAUGUAUAGGGGGAAGGAGACAGGGAUACUGGAGUGAUGGAGGUAGAUAUGUAUAGGGGGAAGGAGACAGGGAGACUGGAGUGAUGGAGGUAGAUAUGUAUAGGGGGAAGGAGACAGGGAUACUGGAGUGAUGGAGGUAGAUAUGUAGAGGGGGAAGGAGACAGGGAUACUGGAGUGAUGGAGGUAGAUAUGUAGAGGGGGAAGGAGACAGGGAUACUGGAGUGAUGGAGGUAGAUAUGUAUAGGAGACAGGGAGACUGGAGUGAUGGAGGUAGAUAUGUAUAGGAGACAGGGAUACUGGA
Long non-coding RNA from Oncorhynchus tshawytscha (Chinook salmon), 406 nucleotides. Lineage: Eukaryota; Metazoa; Chordata; Actinopteri; Salmoniformes; Salmonidae. The record is from Ensembl.